This 115-nucleotide non-coding RNA is filed under the name uncultured Enterocloster sp. RNAcentral describes it as "THF riboswitch". It matches the Rfam family "THF (Tetrahydrofolate) riboswitch aptamer". From Rfam's summary of the family: THF riboswitch presents a pseudoknot that joins P1-P2 and the loop of P3 and two THF binding. Lineage: Bacteria; Bacillati; Bacillota; Clostridia; Lachnospirales; Lachnospiraceae. The record is from RNAcentral.
GCAGAGUAGGCUUAUGCGCGUUAAGUGCCGGCUGGACAGGGAGUUGCCAGCCAGACGAAAGUAAGGAGCGGCUUUGUGCCGAUCCUUCUGCGGUGCAUGGGCCGCAUCCCGCUGC